This 507-nucleotide long non-coding RNA is filed under the name Equus asinus (donkey). Its description in RNAcentral is "lncRNA (ENSEASG00005027359.1)". The record is from RNAcentral. Lineage: Eukaryota; Metazoa; Chordata; Mammalia; Perissodactyla; Equidae.
CAGCCAAAGGCUAUACUUCCCAGCAUCCUUCACAUGUGGUCAUGUGGGAUGUGAGUGGAAGUGAUAGGAGCCAGUGAAUCACUGACAUGUGUUGUUUGUGUCGGUUUCAGAGUUCGAUCCAUCCACAGGAGAGCCUUGCCUUGGCCUGAGGGAGCCACUUUACAGUAAAGGAAGUGGAGGAAGUGAGCCCAUGCCCCUGGAGCUGCUGGUCCUGUAACAUAUACCACACCACCCAGGAGCUGCCAGCCCAACAGAAUGAAACUGCUUCAGCUCAGAGUUGACAACCUCUGAUGGAAGGGUGCCAUCCCUCAGGAUGCAGUGUAUAGCUUGCAUGGUGCUGUGUCUACUCUGAUUCUGGCCUCUUCCAGAGGUCAGCAUCCCAGAGGGGGAACACUUCCAGGAAGAGGCUCACUAAACUUUCAGCUAUGCUGCUUCCUGAAGGCUCCUUGUGCCAAGAGACAAACAGGCAAGGAAAGGAGCCUCCCCUGGGCCACCAGAGGAGGCAGG